Molecule: non-coding RNA, 691 nt
Organism: Rhinichthys klamathensis goyatoka
Lineage: Eukaryota; Metazoa; Chordata; Actinopteri; Cypriniformes; Leuciscidae
Source: the annotation of a RefSeq genome assembly
AAAGUAUUUCAACCUUAUGUAUGUUAAUACAUAAGUUUAGGUAAAUAUAUUGUAUGUUUCGUGAUGAUGUGUAUGAUGAUGAAUGAUGAUGUCACUGAGAGGCUCCUCCCUCUUCAGUCUCUUAUACUCGUCUCUGAUCGCUCUUCUCUAUUCAAUCUCACAUCACACACUCACAACAUGCUGACAGUCUUCAUCAUCCUCAUCAUCACUCUGUCAUGUGUCAGUGGAGUGACUGUAGUGACCCAGAAUCCUCCAUUAAUCUCAGUCAAUAAAGGAGAAACUGUGUCAUUGGUGUGUAACACAGGCAGCUCUACUGAUGGUGGACGCUGGUAUAAACAGGUCGCAGGAGGAACGCCCCAGUUUGUGUUAAACUCGCACCAUGGCUGGAGCUCUCCUAAAUAUGGAUCUGGUUUUUCCUCUCCUAAAUUUACAGUAUCUUAUCCUACUGAGUCCGACUGUCAUCUGUCAAUCAGUAAUGUGGAUGUUGGUGAUUCUGCAGUGUAUUACUGUCACACAUGGGACAGCUCUGCUAAAGAGGAGGUAUCACAGUGAUUCACAGCAUGACAAAAACCUCCUCACUGCUCACAUUCACUUCUGCUUCUAGACAACAGAUGAUAAGACCACUAACUUACUUCACUUCUCUGAUCCAUGAUGAAUUUCAAACUAAUCACAGAUGCUGAGAAUAUUCUCC